This 422-nucleotide ribosomal RNA is filed under the name uncultured bacterium. Its description in RNAcentral is "bacterial SSU rRNA". It matches the Rfam family "Bacterial small subunit ribosomal RNA", at positions 29 to 487 of the family's 1533-position model. The record is from RNAcentral.
AACGAACGCUGGCGGCAUGCCUAACACAUGCAAGUCGAACGGGAUCCUAGCUUGCUAGGUGAGAGUGGCGGACGGGUGAGUAACACGUGGGAAUCUGCCUUUUGGUUCGGGAUAACCGCGGGAAACUGCGGCUAAUACCGAAUGCCCUCGAGAGAGGAAAGAUUUAUCGCCAGAAGAGGAGCCCGCGUCCGAUUAGGUAGUUGGUGGGGUAAAGGCCUACCAAGCCGACGAUCGGUAGCUGGUCUGAGAGGAUGAUCAGCCACACUGGGACUGAGAUACGGCCCAGACUCCUACGGGAGGCAGCAGUGGGGAAUAUUGGACAAUGGGGGGCAACCCUGAUCCAGCAAUGCCGCGUGAGUGAUGAAGGCCUUAGGGUUGUAAAGCUCUUUUGCCAGGGAAGAUGAUGACUGUACCUGGAGAAU